UUUAUUUAGUAUGGAAGAAUAUGUACUGCUAUUAUGUUCUCUUGCAUUUGUUCUGCUGCUCUAUGGUGCUGCUAGGGUUUCCUACUCCAUUUUUUGGAAACCCAAGUGGCUUGAGAGGCAGCUGAAGCGACAAGGGAUUAGAGGCACCCCUUACAGGCCACUCAUUCGAGACAUGAAGGAGUUUGUUAGGCUGAUCAAGGAAGCAUGGUCCAAGCCUAUGAGCUUAACUCACCAGAUUGCCUCACGUGUCGACCCGUUCACCUCAACUAUCAUGCAGAAAUAUGGCAAAAUAUCAAUGUAUUGGGUUGGGACAACACCAAGAUUGAUCAUCAUGGACACAGAGCUGAUGAAAGAAAUUUUGUUGAACAAGCAAGGCCAUUUCGGUAAGCCGCCAUUGAAUCCAUUGAUUCUCAUCCUGACGAGAGGACUUGCAAGUCUAGAGGGUGAGAAAUGGACCAAACACAGAAGAAUUAUCAAUCCUGCUUCCACUUAGAACGACUCAAGGAAAUGAAAUCGGUUUUCGCAGUCAGUUGUGACGAAAUGAUAGAGCAGUGGAAAAGGGUGGUUCCCCUUGGAGGAGGAGGAGGUUUUGAAAUGGAUAUCUGGCCUGAGAUCCAAAAGCUUAGUGCAGAAGUUAUUUCUCGAGCAGCGUUUGGAAGCACGUACAAAGAAGGGAAGAAGGUUUUCGAGCUUCAGAAAGAGCUUCUAGUGCUGACAUUUGAAGCAAUGACUACUUUAUACGUUCCUGGUUUCAGGUGCAUUUCCAAUUUCCAUUGUCUAAAACCCUAGCUUUCAUGCUUUCAUAUUUGUUAGCGAUAAAAAUUAACAUUUUGACUGUUUGAGUACUGAUUUGUUCCAACAAAAAAGAACCAAAGGAGAAAGAAAUUGGCCAAAGACAUCACGUCAAUGCUACGAAAGAUAAUUGAGAAGAAAAUGAAUGCGAUGAGGGCUGGGGAAUCAAGGGUUGAUGACUUGCUAGGAGUGCUGUUGCAGUCUAAUAACCAGAAGGAUUCAUCAGAAAAUCCAAGCAACGUGAAAACCAAUGAGACGUUGACAAUCGAAGAGGUGAUAGAGGAGUGCAAGCAGUUUUAUCUUGCCGGCCAAGAAACCACCUCAAGCUGGAUAACAUGGACCCUGAUUGGACUGGCAAGAGAAGGCAAGGCACGAAGUCCUUCGAGUUUGUGGGAAAAAGGAACCCGAUUUUGAAGCUAUAAGCCACCUCAAAAUUGUAACCAUGAUACUUAAUGAAGUUUUAAGGCUGUACCCGCCAGCGAUUGCAGGGUACCAACACACGUACAAAGAAACGAAAAUAGGAGAUAUCAUUGUUCCGGCAGGAGUUGACAUUACUCUCCCAACCCUACUGAUUCACCAUGAUCCCAGCCUGUGGGGUGAUGAUGCAGGGGAAUUCAAACCAGAGAGAUUCUCAGAAGGAGUGUCCAAGGCAACGAAGGACCACCAGCAAGCGUUCUUUCCAUUCGGAUGGGGCCCGAGGACCUGCAUCGGCCAGAACUUUGCAAUAAUGGAAGCAAAGGUUGCUCUAGCUAUGCUUCUGCAACACUUCUCGUUCGAGCUCUCGUCUUCCUAUACUCAUGCUCCAUAUACGGUUACCAUUCUUCAACCACAACAUGGAGCUCUAAUCACAUUGCACCAAAUCUAGGGAGGGUUAUCUAAAUUUCGGUUUCAAUAAUGUGAUUUGAAAUGACAAACCGUGUGGCCUUUACAUUUAAACAGUGUUCUUCAUAGUGAAGAAGUCAAGAUGUAGGGUUUACUUAUUAAGUUCAGUGUCUUCUUAGAGUCCCAAUAAACAUAUCACCACCACCAUUAGGACUGUUUGUCCCAGUAAUUAUGUAUUAAGAAAAUGCAUUCAGAUUA
Non-coding RNA from Malus domestica (apple), 1872 nucleotides. The record is from RefSeq and is a predicted model, not a curated record. NCBI's taxonomy places the organism in Eukaryota, Viridiplantae, Streptophyta, Magnoliopsida, Rosales, Rosaceae.